RNAcentral lists this long non-coding RNA (663 nucleotides) under Felis catus (domestic cat). Its description in RNAcentral is "lncRNA (ENSFCAG00000049864.1)". Lineage: Eukaryota; Metazoa; Chordata; Mammalia; Carnivora; Felidae. The record is from RNAcentral.
GCUCCCUGAGGUGACACGGCCCUCUGCUUAGCUGCAGUGGUCGUGGUGCCUGUAGUUAACACAGUUUCACUCUUUGGAGCUCAGGCAUUUAGGGAGCUGUGUGAAGCCUUUAAUCCAAGCCAUCUGCAGUCAUCACUGAACACCGCACGAUGGUGUGGCUGCUUCUGCUGCUGUUUCCAGUAGCUGCCAUGCAGACUGGCAUCUGCCUGCCAUAUACUCAGUAGAGUAACCCCAACACUAUUUUGACAUGAAGGUGCCUGGUGCCCUGAAACUCCCUGUGAAUUUGCUGGUGACCUCACUCAUCAACCUUUGGGAUAGCAGUCAGUGUUCGCUCUCUGCUUUUCAAAAAGAGAUACUUGACUAUCUGAGCUUGGCUCACAAGGAGGCUUCCCAGGCAAAAGGAGAAUAUUAUAUGGACUUUUUCAUUGACCUACUUUUUAAGGAAUGUAGAGGAGUGGAAAAUGGAGGUUGUUGAUUCUGCCUUAUGGAUGAAAUAUAGAAAACCUUAAACACAUACUUAAUGUAUAUCUGUGAUUUCAUUUUGAUGAAGAAAGACUCAUUGAUUUGGUAAAGUUACUCAGAAAGUGUUUUAACUUGAAGAUUGGACUGCAUUUAUCAUUGAGGAAAGAGUGAAUUUUCUCAAUAAAUCACUAUUAUAAGUCA